GAAUGCUGACAUAAGUAACGAUAAAGCGGGUGAAAAGCCCGCUCGCCGGAAGACCAAGGGUUCCUGUCCAACGUUAAUCGGGGCAGGGUGAGUCGACCCCUAAGGCGAGGCCGAAAGGCGUAGUCGAUGGGAAACAGGUUAAUAUUCCUGUACUUGGUGUUACUGCGAAGGGGGGACGGAGAAGGCUAUGUUGGCCGGGCGACGGUUGUCCCGGUUUAAGCGUGUAGGCUGGUUUUCCAGGCAAAUCCGGAAAAUCAAGGCUGAGGCGUGAUGACGAGGCACUACGGUGCUGAAGCGACAAAUGCCCUGCUUCCAGGAAAAGCCUCUAAGCAUCAGGUAACAUCAAAUCGUACCCCAAACCGACACAGGUGGUCAGGUAGAGAAUACCAAGGCGCUUGAGAGAACUCGGGUGAAGGAACUAGGCAAAAUGGUGCCGUAACUUCGGGAGAAGGCACGCUGAUAUGUAGGUGAAGCGACUUGCUCGUGGAGCUGAAAUCAGUCGAAGAUACCAGCUGGCUGCAACUGUUUAUUAAAAACACAGCACUGUGCAAACACGAAAGUGGACGUAUACGGUGUGACGCCUGCCCGGUGCCGGAAGGUUAAUUGAUGGGGUUAGCGGUAACGCGAAGCUCUUGAUCGAAGCCCCGGUAAACGGCGGCCGUAACUAUAACGGUCCUAAGGUAGCGAAAUUCCUUGUCGGGUAAGUUCCGACCUGCACGAAUGGCGUAAUGAUGGCCAGGCUGUCUCCACCCGAGACUCAGUGAAAUUGAACUCGCUGUGAAGAUGCAGUGUACCCGCGGCAAGACGGAAAGACCCCGUGAACCUUUACUAUAGCUUGACACUGAACAUUGAGCCUUGAUGUGUAGGAUAGGUGGGAGGCUUUGAAGUGUGGACGCCAGUCUGCAUGGAGCCGACCUUGAAAUACCACCCUUUAAUGUUUGAUGUUCUAACGUGGGCCCCUUACCGGGGUUGCGGACAGUGUCUGGUGGGUAGUUUGACUGGGGCGGUCUCCUCCUAAAGAGUAACGGAGGAGCACGAAGGUUGGCUAAUCCUGGUCGGACAUCAGGAGGUUAGUGCAAUGGCAUAAGCCAGCUUGACUGCGAGCGUGACGGCGCGAGCAGGUGCGAAAGCAGGUCAUAGUGAUCCGGUGGUUCUGAAUGGAAGGGCCAUCGCUCAACGGAUAAAAGGUACUCCGGGGAUAACAGGCUGAUACCGCCCAAGAGUUCAUAUCGACGGCGGUGUUUGGCACCUCGAUGUCGGCUCAUCACAUCCUGGGGCUGAAGUAGGUCCCAAGGGUAUGGCUGUUCGCCAUUUAAAGUGGUACGCGAGCUGGGUUUAGAACGUCGUGAGACAGUUCGGUCCCUAUCUGCCGUGGGCGCUGGAGAACUGAGGGGGGCUGCUCCUAGUACGAGAGGACCGGAGUGGACGCAUCACUGGUGUUCGGGUUGUCAUGCCAAUGGCACUGCCCGGUAGCUAAAUGCGGAAGAGAUAAGUGCUGAAAGCAUCUAAGCACGAAACU
This 1519-nucleotide ribosomal RNA is filed under the name Escherichia coli. Its description in RNAcentral is "partial 23S ribosomal RNA". It matches the Rfam family "Bacterial large subunit ribosomal RNA", at positions 1292 to 2794 of the family's 2925-position model. Lineage: Bacteria; Pseudomonadati; Pseudomonadota; Gammaproteobacteria; Enterobacterales; Enterobacteriaceae. The record is from RNAcentral.